Molecule: ribosomal RNA, 262 nt
Filed under: Salmonella enterica
Lineage: Bacteria; Pseudomonadati; Pseudomonadota; Gammaproteobacteria; Enterobacterales; Enterobacteriaceae
Also listed under: 1 other name
Description: partial 16S ribosomal RNA
Rfam family: Bacterial small subunit ribosomal RNA
Source: RNAcentral
GUAAUGUCUGGGAAACUGCCUGAUGGAGGGGGAUAACUACUGGAAACGGUGGCUAAUACCGCAUAACGUCGCAAGACCAAAGAGGGGGACCUUCGGGCCUCUUGCCAUCAGAUGUGCCCAGAUGGGAUUAGCUAGUUGGUGAGGUAACGGCUCACCAAGGCGACGAUCCCUAGCUGGUCUGAGAGGAUGACCAGCCACACUGGAACUGAGACACGGUCCAGACUCCUACGGGAGGCAGCAGUGGGGAAUAUUGCACAAUGGG